RNAcentral lists this long non-coding RNA (1559 nucleotides) under Strigops habroptila (Kakapo). RNAcentral describes it as "lncRNA (ENSSHBG00005012791.1)". Lineage: Eukaryota; Metazoa; Chordata; Aves; Psittaciformes; Psittacidae. The record is from RNAcentral.
ACACCCAUCAUGGCGGACGCCGUCGGUGGUGCGCCCAUGGCGGGGCCGCUGCUUUAUUGUGCCGACGGCCCUGUCCCGGCCCCGUUCCCGGGGGAGGUUUCCCGUGUCCCGGGCUCAGGCGGAGCUGGGGGUGACGCGCCCGUCGCCCGCCUCGCUCAGGGCGGCCCAUUCCUUGCGCUGGAUCGUUCCCGUCUUCUCCUCGCGGAACUGCUGCCGCUGCUCCCGCGGGAUCUUCACCGCGUGGUGCUGCGGCAGCGCCGGCGGCACGGCCCGCGCCCGGCGGAAGAACCCCACCUGCGGCACCGGGCGCCCCGGUCACGCACCGGCAUCGGCACCGCGCCACGUGUCCCGAGGACGGCCACGAGCAGCGCCAGGAGGAGGACACCGGCCAGCACCGCCAGCAGGAUCACCCACCAGGGCACGCCGCCGGCCACCGCCGCGCCGGGGUCCAGCACCAGGUUCUUGAUGGAGGAUGUCACCGAGACGCUGGCGCGGAUGAUGAGCUCCACCGAGGUGACGGCCAGGAACUCCUGCGGGGCGGGGGGGGAUGAGCCCCGGCCCUGGCCCCAUCCCUGGCCCCAUCCCUGCCCCUGUCCCAUCGCUCCCACCUCCAGGAAGGUGCCGUUCCAGAGGCGGCCGCGGGCGCUCAGCACGGCCGCGCGCUCGAAGCUGGGCAAUGGGCAGCGGAAGGGCCAGCAGCGCGCGGUGCCCUGGGCACAGUCCUGCGGAGGGGUCAGACACCAGCGGGGUACCCAGGCGCAGGGGUGUCCCAAGAAUGGGGGUACCCCAGGAGCGGGUGCAACCCGUGAGCAGAGGCGCCCCAUGAGUGGGUGCACCCCAUAAGCGGGGGUACCCCAGGAGAGGGUGUGUAGGAAUGGGGGCACCGCAGGAGCAGGGGUACGCCAAGAACAGAUGAACCCCAUGAGCAAUGGUACCUCAGGCAUAGGGGCACCCCAUAAGCAGGGACACCCCAUAACUGGGUGCACCCCAUGAGCGGGCGCUCCCCAUGUAGGGUCCCCCCCUCUCACCAACGUGACGUUCCUCCUCCUCUUGGCGGGCGCCAGCACCCACCAGGCCCCUGGCGUGGGUGGCUCCGGCUGCCCCGGGGGCUCCUGUGGGGGGUAAAGGCCGGGAAUGGGGCGGGAGCGCUGGGAGCCGGACGGGCGCUGGCGGGUCCCUGCGGCUGCGGCCGUACCAGCGCCAGGCGCAGCGGGUUGGCGGCGGGGCUGCAGGGCACCGCCUGCCCCGGCGCCGCCGCCAGCUCCACGUGCAGCGGGUACAGGAGCCACUUCCCGUUGGGGAGCUCGUGGGGCCAGAGCAGCGUCAGGAAGGCUGAGCCGAGCGUCUUCACCGACUGGCCCCGGUUGGAGACCUGCGGGGACCGGGCGUCAAUGGGGCUGCCCCAUAAGUGAGCAUGGGGCGGGCUGUGGGGCCGCCCCCCCGAUGGGCACUCACCGUCACCUCGAAGCGCACGGCGCUGCCCACUUGGCUCUCACGCUUCACGGCGCUCUCCCCCAGCACGGUGCCGCCAAAGAAGAGCCGCGGUGGCACCGCCACGC